AUAGUCAAUCUUAAACAAGUGGCAUCGUAUAAAUGCUACGUCUGCACGGGCACCUCUCCCGCCGAUAGCUGCUCCCGAAAUUUGUCCCUGUCAUGGGUGAGCGGAUGUGUGGCAUGUACACAAGUGCAUAACAAUGGCGUUAUCACAAGGGGACGUCCAUCUUUUGUCAAUGUAUUCGUUGACAAAUGUACACACACCAACAUAAUCGAGUGCAUCUGCCAUUCUGACUACUGCAACAGAGUUGGUCACGUGACAGUGUCCCUGGUAGCCGUUACUACCGGAUUGUUUGCCGCAAUGAUGGGGCGGGCACUGUUGUAAACGAUCCAGUUGACAAUCUUUACUCGAUAACUUCUAACACGCUUAUUCUUUCAACUAUUCACUUAAUCGAAAAUAUCUCUGAAUAUACGUUUAUUUAACAAUGUAAUGUGUGUGAAUU
Molecule: long non-coding RNA, 436 nt
Organism: Dreissena polymorpha
Lineage: Eukaryota; Metazoa; Mollusca; Bivalvia; Myida; Dreissenidae
Exons: 2
Source: RefSeq, a predicted model, not a curated record